UUUCGUGGGAUGAACUCUCAUUUAUCCAAAAGAUCGAAAAAAUCACUUAUACUGACAUAAUUUUAUUAAAUUAAUCGUUUUUUAUCAAAAAUGUGCCGGCUUUACGUUUGGCAGAAGAACUUACUACUGAAGAAACUAUAGGAAAAGAGGAAAGCAGACAUUCCAUAGCGACGCACACGACGAGGAAGUCAGUUAAAAAUACCAGUAAAAUAAUUUUGCAGAUAGUCUCCGGCAGCCUACAAACACAUCCGCAAAAAAUUAAUCCAUAGAAAGAUUUCUUCGUGGCAUACAACAAAAUCGUCAGUUGUGACAACUAGGCGGCGGCGAGAAGCUGAGCUGUUGCUGGUACAAACCGGAUGCGAGAAAUCUGCUUGCAAUGAACCAAAUGGACCUUUUCAGAGUAAAACCACGUAAUUCGUGCAGAUCCACUCUGCUUUCACUUUGACAUCACCCGGCAUCCUAAUGUCGGUUCCAGCUUCUAGCUCAGCUGCUUGCCGUCACUCUGUCAGCAGUCUUACAUAUAUUGCAGUGUCACUGACGAAGGAUGUGAGAAAACGCAUGCCAUCUGAUACAUAAGUUGCCGUAAAACAAAGCCUAAUAAAUAAACUGCAGAAGCCUCACGAAUUUUACAUUGAUCUAUGACUAUUGUAAUGGCUGUAAUGAUCUGUGACGUCAAUGAUCUUUGAACGUCGUAUAUUGUGAUUGGUGUGACCACGUAGUUCUUUCUUGAAGAUCGACGGUACACGUGAUCGACUUAAUGCUGCACACAGUACUGGUUAUUGAAUUAUCGAAAACUAGCAUCGACAGCCUCUAUGGUACCUGGGGGUUCCGAAUGAAGUCUUCACCGAUUCAUAAUCAUCCUUCGAUAAUACCGUAUUUCCACUCCAUCUGCCGGGUGUGUCCGUAGUAUUUAAAGGAACCAAGAUGUUAAGCCAAAAGGAUCCAAACAAAUUGCAGCAUGAAAAAAAACUAGAAAUAUUUCUUCACAUCUUGUUACGAGCGGUAGGGAAGUGACUUGUACAUGAACCGAAGACAUUUCGCAAUACUUUUUUUUAAAUUUUCAUUUACGUGUCUUUAAAUCGCAAUACUCUACCGGCCCAACGGUUUGAGGCCAAGAAUAUCUCAGAUCAACGCACGCACAGGGAUCGGUUGGAUAUUAAGCUAAAAGAAAUGAAUGAGUUUUUCUGGAGAGCACCAUCGGUGAAUAAAACAGGAAUUAUUUAUUUGUUGAAUUGUUUAAAAGCUAAUAUAUUUAUUUUACAGUUAGCAUCA
Molecule: long non-coding RNA, 1272 nt
Organism: Topomyia yanbarensis
Lineage: Eukaryota; Metazoa; Arthropoda; Insecta; Diptera; Culicidae
Exons: 2
Source: RefSeq, a predicted model, not a curated record